Molecule: ribosomal RNA, 253 nt
Filed under: uncultured bacterium
Lineage: Bacteria
Description: partial 16S ribosomal RNA
Rfam family: Bacterial small subunit ribosomal RNA
Source: RNAcentral
GACAGAGGGUGCAAACGUUGUUCGGAAUUACUGGGCGUAAAGCGCGUGUAGGCGGCUUGGCAAGUCGGGUGUGAAAGCCCUGGGCUCAACCUAGGAAGUGCACUCGAAACUGCCUCGCUUGAAUGCCGGAGAGGAAAGCGGAAUUCUCGGUGUAGAGGUGAAAUUCGUAGAUAUCGAGAGGAACACCGGUGGCGAAGGCGGCUUUCUGGACGGUUAUUGACGCUGAGACGCGAAAGCGUGGGGAGCAAACAGG